Long non-coding RNA from Pseudophryne corroboree (corroboree frog), 640 nucleotides. RefSeq lists it as uncharacterized. The transcript has 2 exons. NCBI's taxonomy places the organism in Eukaryota, Metazoa, Chordata, Amphibia, Anura, Myobatrachidae. The record is from RefSeq and is a predicted model, not a curated record.
AGGAAUUGAUGGGUCGCUUUCCUGUUGUCUCAGAUAUGUCACGGAUUCCCAAUUAAUUCACAGCCUACAUUCUCAUAAAUCAAAUCACCGAAUGGCUGGCACUAUGGGAAUAGGUGAAAGCAGAUGCAGGGGUCCUAUGUGUUACAGUCCAUGCACUGCAGCGUAAGAAUAAACAGCCUCCAGCCGACACCUACACUAAGCCAGCCCCCGGCCUGUUCACGGACCUCUCCUCUCCAUUAGGUGGUCACCGUGGCGCAAGUGGUCCCAGUAAAGCGGGCAGGUGGUAGUGGGGAGAGUCUGCACCGGAGCCGGUAGUCCUAGGGCUCAGCCUCUUGCUCUGAUCACAGUAGGGAGAACACGCCAGCCAGCAGGAACCAAGAUGACACCGGCCUCUGUGCUCCUGCGCCAAGUGGAGAUGCUAUCCCGGAAGCAGGAGCGGCCUGGAGCAGCGGAGCAGGUAGAGAGGGCUCACAGCAGUCGGAUCAACACUGGUGGCUUGAUCUUUCAAAAUCGCCUUAAGGUGGGUCUAUAGGCAGACUGUCCGGGACAUGUGUUACAUUCUGGGACAAUCCCACCAAAAACUGGACGAGUAGUAGUCCUAUUGUAAAUGAUUACAGAACAUUAAAGCACUGAACUAAAA